Molecule: transfer RNA, 74 nt
Filed under: Bacteroidetes bacterium ADurb.BinA012
Lineage: Bacteria; Pseudomonadati; Bacteroidota
Description: tRNA-Met
Rfam family: tRNA
About the family: Transfer RNA (tRNA) molecules are approximately 80 nucleotides in length. Their secondary structure includes four short double-helical elements and three loops (D, anti-codon, and T loops).
Source: RNAcentral
UGCGAGGUGGAGCAGACGGUAGCUCGUAAGAUUCAUGAUCUUAAGGUCACAGGUUCGAGUCCUGUCCUCGCUAC